GACGAACGCUGGCGGCGUGCUUAACACAUGCAAGUCGAACGGAAAGGCCCUGCUUGCAGGGUACUCGAGUGGCGAACGGGUGAGUAACACGUGGGUGAUCUGCCCUGCACUUCGGGAUAAGCCUGGGAAACUGGGUCUAAUACCGGAUAGGAGCCAUUUUUAGUGUGAUGGUUGGAAAGUUUUUUCGGUGUAGGAUGAGCUCGCGGCCUAUCAGCUUGUUGGUGGGGUAAUGGCCUACCAAGGCGGCGACGGGUAGCCGGCCUGUGAGGGUGGACGGCCACAUUGGGACUGAGAUACGGCCCAGACUCCGACGGGAGGCAGCAGUGGGGAAGAUUGCACAAUGGGCGCAAGCCUGAUGCAGCGACGCCGCGUGGGGGAUGACGGCCUUCGGGUUGUAAACUCCUUUCGCUAGGGACGAAGCUUUUUGUGACGGUACCUAGAUAAGAAGCACCGGCUAACUACGUG
RNAcentral lists this ribosomal RNA (465 nucleotides) under uncultured bacterium. Its description in RNAcentral is "partial 16S ribosomal RNA". It matches the Rfam family "Bacterial small subunit ribosomal RNA", at positions 28 to 507 of the family's 1533-position model. The record is from RNAcentral.